This 74-nucleotide transfer RNA is filed under the name Alteromonadaceae bacterium. Its description in RNAcentral is "tRNA-Lys". It matches the Rfam family "tRNA". From Rfam's summary of the family: Transfer RNA (tRNA) molecules are approximately 80 nucleotides in length. Their secondary structure includes four short double-helical elements and three loops (D, anti-codon, and T loops). Lineage: Bacteria; Pseudomonadati; Pseudomonadota; Gammaproteobacteria; Alteromonadales; Alteromonadaceae. The record is from RNAcentral.
AUACAGGUAGCUCAAAUUGGUAGAGCAUCGAACAUUUAAUUCGAUUGUUGUGGGUUCAAGUCCCACCCUAAAAA